CCUACGGGUGGCAGCAGUGAGGAAUAUUGGUCAAUGGACGAGAGUCUGAACCAGCCAAGUAGCGUGAAGGAUGACUGCCCUAUGGGUUGUAAACUUCUUUUAUAGAGGAAUAAAACGAGGCACGUGUGCCUUUUUGCAUGUACUUUAUGAAUAAGGAUCGGCUAACUCCGUUCCAUAAGACGCGGUAAUACGGAGGAUCCGAGCGUUAUCCGGAUUUAUUGGGUUUAAAGGGAGCGCAGAUGGGUUGUUAAGUCAGUUGUGAAAGUUUGCGGCUCAACCGUAAAAGUGCAAUGGAUACUGGCAGUCUUGAGUACAGUUGAGGUAAGCGGAAUUCGUGGUGUAGCGGUGAAAUGCUUAGAUAUCACGAAGAACCCCGAUUGCGAAGGCGGCUUACUGGACAGUAACUGACGUUGAGGCUCGAAAGCGUGGGGAGCAAACAGGAUUAGAUACCCGUGUAGUC
Molecule: ribosomal RNA, 460 nt
Filed under: uncultured bacterium
Lineage: Bacteria
Description: partial 16S ribosomal RNA
Rfam family: Bacterial small subunit ribosomal RNA
Source: RNAcentral